RNAcentral lists this ribosomal RNA (253 nucleotides) under uncultured bacterium. Its description in RNAcentral is "partial 16S ribosomal RNA". It matches the Rfam family "Bacterial small subunit ribosomal RNA", at positions 524 to 776 of the family's 1533-position model. The record is from RNAcentral.
UACGGGGGGUGCAAGCGUUGUUCGGAUUUAUUGGGCGUAAAGCGCGUGUAGGCGGUUUGUUAAGUCUGAUGUGAAAGCCCUGGGCUCAACCCAGGAAGUGCAUUGGAUACUGGCAGACUUGAAUACGGGAGAGGGUAGUGGAAUUCCUGGUGUAGGAGUGAAAUCCGUAGAUAUCAGGAGGAACACCGGUGGCGAAGGCGGCUGCCUGGACCGAUAUUGACGCUGAGACGCGAACGCGUGGGUAGCAAACAGG